GUGUCAGCAGCCGCGGUAAUACGUAGGGUGCAAGCGUUAAUCGGAAUUACUGGGCGUAAAGCGUGCGCAGGCGGUUCGGAAAGAAAGAUGUGAAAUCCCAGAGCUUAACUUUGGAACUGCAUUUUUAACUACCGGGCUAGAGUGUGUCAGAGGGAGGUGGAAUUCCGCGUGUAGCAGUGAAAUGCGUAGAUAUGCGGAGGAACACCGAUGGCGAAGGCAGCCUCCUGGGAUAACACUGACGCUCAUGCACGAAAGCGUGGGGAGCAAACAGGAUUAGAUACCCUGGUAGUCCACGCCCUAAACGAUGUCAACUAGCUGUUGGGGCCUUCGGGCCUUGGUAGCGCAGCUAACGCGUGAAGUUGACCGCCUGGGGAGUACGGUCGCAAGAUUAAA
This 393-nucleotide ribosomal RNA is filed under the name uncultured bacterium. RNAcentral describes it as "bacterial SSU rRNA". It matches the Rfam family "Bacterial small subunit ribosomal RNA", at positions 505 to 898 of the family's 1533-position model. The record is from RNAcentral.